RNAcentral lists this ribosomal RNA (472 nucleotides) under uncultured bacterium. RNAcentral describes it as "partial 16S ribosomal RNA". It matches the Rfam family "Bacterial small subunit ribosomal RNA", at positions 28 to 507 of the family's 1533-position model. The record is from RNAcentral.
GACGAACGCUGGCGGCGUGCUUAACACAUGCAAGUCGAACGAUGAACCCGGAGCUUGCUCUGGGGGAUUAGUGGCGAACGGGUGAGUAACACGUGAGUAACCUGCCCUGGACUCUGGGAUAAGCGUUGGAAACGACGUCUAAUACCGGAUAGGACCUUGGAUCGCAUGAUCUGGGGUGGAAAGUUUUUUCGGUCUGGGAUGGACUCGCGGCCUAUCAGCUUGUUGGUGAGGUAAUGGCUCACCAAGGCGUCGACGGGUAGCCGGCCUGAGAGGGUGACCGGCCACACUGGGACUGAGACACGGCCCAGACACCUACGGGAGGCAGCAGUGGGGAAUAUUGCACAAUGGGCGAAAGCCUGAUGCAGCAACGCCGCGUGCGGGAUGACGGCCUUCGGGUUGUAAACCGCUUUUAGUAGGAAAGAAGGGCUUCGGCUUGACGGUACCUGCAGAAAAAGGACCGGCUAACUACGUG